This 132-nucleotide unclassified non-coding RNA is filed under the name Vibrio palustris. Its description in RNAcentral is "yybP-ykoY". Lineage: Bacteria; Pseudomonadati; Pseudomonadota; Gammaproteobacteria; Vibrionales; Vibrionaceae. The record is from RNAcentral.
UUCGCGGUCUUUGGGGAGUAGCUUGCUGAGUCAAUCUCGUGAUUCAGUUCGUUCGUCAACAUAAUCGCUGUCAAAUAGCGUGGCGUUCGAGACUUGGUUUCCAUCAAGUUUAGCAAGACCUUAGACAAACAG